Schizosaccharomyces osmophilus is the source of this 154-nucleotide small nucleolar RNA. The record is from RefSeq and is a predicted model, not a curated record. NCBI's taxonomy places the organism in Eukaryota, Fungi, Ascomycota, Schizosaccharomycetes, Schizosaccharomycetales, Schizosaccharomycetaceae.
CAUGUCUCUUUCUAAACUCUCUUUGAAGGAUAAAAGUGUCGAAGAUUGAGUUGGAGGUACCUCUGAUGGUAUAUAUAGAGACUAGAAAAAAUCUUUGCGCUGUUGAGUACGGUUGCUCCUUAUGGGGUACUCGUAAUUUUUUGGGCAAACAUGU